AAGAGUGUAGUAUAACGGUUAGUGCAACGAUCUCCAAAAUCGUCAGUAGAGGUUCGAUUCCUUUCACUCUUG
This 72-nucleotide transfer RNA is filed under the name Sphingobacteriaceae bacterium. RNAcentral's name for it is "tRNA-Trp". It matches the Rfam family "tRNA". From Rfam's summary of the family: Transfer RNA (tRNA) molecules are approximately 80 nucleotides in length. The record is from RNAcentral. Lineage: Bacteria; Pseudomonadati; Bacteroidota; Sphingobacteriia; Sphingobacteriales; Sphingobacteriaceae.